UACGAAGGGGACUAGCGUUGUUCGGAAUCACUGGGCGUAAAGCGCACGUAGGCGGAUUUGUAAGUCAGGGGUGAAAUCCCGGGGCUCAACCUCGGAACUGCCUUUGAUACUGGCAACCUUGAGUCCGGGAGAGGUGAGUGGAACUGCGAGUGUAGAGGUGAAAUUCGUAGAUAUUCGCAAGAACACCAGUGGCGAAGGCGGCUCACUGGCCCGGUACUGACGCUGAGGUGCGAAAGCGUGGGGAGCAAACAGGG
RNAcentral lists this ribosomal RNA (254 nucleotides) under uncultured bacterium. RNAcentral describes it as "partial 16S ribosomal RNA". It matches the Rfam family "Bacterial small subunit ribosomal RNA", at positions 524 to 777 of the family's 1533-position model. The record is from RNAcentral.